RNAcentral lists this ribosomal RNA (568 nucleotides) under uncultured marine eukaryote. RNAcentral's name for it is "bacterial SSU rRNA". It matches the Rfam family "Eukaryotic small subunit ribosomal RNA", at positions 623 to 1059 of the family's 1831-position model. The record is from RNAcentral.
AAAGCUCGUAGUUGGAUUCAGAGGUGGGGUUGUGGGUCGGGUGUGGCCCGGCAGCUUGUCUCCGUGUGCCGCUCCCAAUCAACCCGCGUUUGCCCCAGCCUCCUAUCGCACGGAAACGGAGUCCUGCUGGGGUCUCCUUAACUGGGGGUUCCAGCGCUUCCGCGCACAACGUGCGCUUACGGACCGUCCGUGGACGUUACUGUGAACAAAACAGCGUGUUCAAAGCAAGUGGCUUGCCUGCCCUGCAUGUUAAAGCAUGGAAUAACAAGGCAUCGACCACUCGGCGGUGCUUUUGUUGGUCUUUCCCUCCCGGUGGGAAUGCGCAGGCGUGCACACUGCCGGCCUUCUGGCCGGUCUGGGUGCCGUCUCUUCGAGAUCAAUAGGGGCAAACGGGGAGAUACCUAUUGUGGGGAGAGCGGUGAAAUGCGAUGACCCCCAUAAGAGGAACUUCAGCGAAGGCAGUUCUCAAGACUGCCUUCGUUAAUCAAGAACGAGACUGUGGGGAUCAGAGAUGAUCAGAUACCGUCGUAGUCCACUAGCGUAAACGAUGCCGACUCAUCAUUGGGGG